GCGUUGGUGGUUUAGUGGUAAAAUUGGCCGUUGCCAUGCGAAUAUCGUCCAGAUAUUAGCUGCAAUUAACUCGGCCAGCCCCGGGUUCGAUUCCCGGCCGACGCA
Non-coding RNA from Saccharata proteae CBS 121410, 105 nucleotides. The record is from the annotation of a GenBank genome assembly. Lineage: Eukaryota; Fungi; Ascomycota; Dothideomycetes; Botryosphaeriales; Saccharataceae.